Molecule: ribosomal RNA, 326 nt
Filed under: uncultured Acidobacteriota bacterium
Lineage: Bacteria; Pseudomonadati; Acidobacteriota
Description: bacterial SSU rRNA
Rfam family: Bacterial small subunit ribosomal RNA
Source: RNAcentral
AUCCUGGCUCAGAAUCAACGCUGGCGGCGCGCCUAACACAUGCAAGUCGAACGAGAACGGCUUCAGCAAUGGGGCCUAGUAAAGUGGCGUACGGGUGAGUAACACGUGGAUCAUCUACCCUCCUGUGGGGGAUAACCCGGGGAAACCUGGGCUAAUACCGCAUAAUAUCCGCAAGGAUCAAAGGAGCAAUUCGCUGGAGGAUGAGUCCGCGGCUGAUUAGCUAGUUGGCGGGGUAAAGGCCCACCAAGGCUCUGAUCGGUAGCCGGUCUGAGAGGACGCACGGCCACACUGGAACUGAAACACGGUCCAGACUCCUACGGGAGGCA